This 492-nucleotide ribosomal RNA is filed under the name uncultured bacterium. RNAcentral's name for it is "partial 16S ribosomal RNA". It matches the Rfam family "Bacterial small subunit ribosomal RNA", at positions 29 to 507 of the family's 1533-position model. The record is from RNAcentral.
AGUGAACGCUGGCGGUAGGCCUAACACAUGCAAGUCGAACGGCAGCACAGUAAGAGCUUGCUCUUACGGGUGGCGAGUGGCGGACGGGUGAGGAAUACAUCGGAAUCUACUUUUUCGUGGGGGAUAACGUAGGGAAACUUACGCUAAUACCGCAUACGACCUACGGGUGAAAGCAGGGGAUCUUCGGACCUUGCGCGAUUGAAUGAGCCGAUGUCGGAUUAGCUAGUUGGCGGGGUAAAGGCCCACCAAGGCGACGAUCCGUAGCUGGUCUGAGAGGAUGAUCGGCCACAGUGGAACUGAGACACGGGCCAGACUCCGAAGGGAGGCAGCAGUGGGGAAUAUUCGGCAAUGGGCGCAAGCCUGAUCCAGCCAUACCGCGUGGGUGAAGAAGGCCUUCGGGUUGUGGAGCCCUUUGGUUGGGGAAGAGAAGCAGCAGGUUAAUACCGCGCAGUUCUGACGGUACCCAAAGAAUAAGCACCGGCUAACUUCGUG